RNAcentral lists this ribosomal RNA (430 nucleotides) under Bacillota bacterium. RNAcentral's name for it is "Firmicutes bacterium partial 16S ribosomal RNA". It matches the Rfam family "Bacterial small subunit ribosomal RNA", at positions 355 to 776 of the family's 1533-position model. The record is from RNAcentral. Lineage: Bacteria; Bacillati; Bacillota.
UGGGGAAUAUUGGACAAUGGGCGCAAGCCUGAUCCAGCCAUGCCGCGUGUGUGAAGAAGGCCUUUUGGUUGUAAAGCACUUUAAGCGAGGAGGAGGCUACUUGGAUUAAUACUCUAGGAUAGUGGACGUUACUCGCAGAAUAAGCACCGGCUAACUCUGUGCCAGCAGCCGCGGUAAUACAGAGGGUGCGAGCGUUAAUCGGAGUUACUGGGCGUAAAGCGUGCGUAGGCGGCUUCUUAAGUCGGAUGUGAAAUCCCUGAGCUUAACUUAGGAAUUGCAUUCGAUACUGGGAAGCUAGAGUAUGGGAGAGGAUGGUAGAAUUCCAGGUGUAGCGGUGAAAUGCGUAGAGAUCUGGAGGAAUACCGAUGGCGAAGGCAGCCAUCUGGCCUAAUACUGACGCUGAGGUACGAAAGCAUGGGGAGCAAACAGG